UGAAAACAGCAGGCAGGGAGGUCAACACCCUACAGGCAGCCUGUGAUGUUAAUAUAGUUGAAAACAGCAGACAGGGAGGUCAACACCCUACAGGCAGCCUGUGCUGUUAAUAUAGUUGAAAACAGCAGGCAGGGAGGUCAACAACCUACAGGCAGCCUGUGAUGUUAAUAUAGUUGAAAACAGCAGGCAGGGAGGUCAACACCCUACAGGCAGCCUGUGAUGUUAAUAUAGUUGAAAACAGCAGGCAGGGAGGUCAACACCCUACAGGCAGCCUGUGAUGUUAAUAUAGUUGAAAACAGCAGGCAGGGAGGUCAACACCCUACAGGCAGCCUGUGCUGUUAAUAUAGUUGAAAACAGCAGGCAGGGAGGUCAACACCCUACAGGCAGCCUGUGAUGUUAAUAUAGUUGAAAACAGCAGGCAGGGAGGUCAACACCCUACAGGCAGCCUGUGAUGUUAAUAUAGUUGAAAACAGCAGGCAGGGAGGUCAACACCCUACAGGCAGCCUGUGCUGUUAAUAUAGUUGAAAACAGCAGACAGGGAGGUCAACACCCUACAGGCAGCCUGUGCUGUUAAUAUAGUUGAAAACAGC
Long non-coding RNA from Oncorhynchus keta (chum salmon), 590 nucleotides. RefSeq lists it as uncharacterized. The record is from RefSeq and is a predicted model, not a curated record. Lineage: Eukaryota; Metazoa; Chordata; Actinopteri; Salmoniformes; Salmonidae. The transcript is spliced from 5 exons.